Molecule: long non-coding RNA, 486 nt
Organism: Hyla sarda
Lineage: Eukaryota; Metazoa; Chordata; Amphibia; Anura; Hylidae
Exons: 3
Source: RefSeq, a predicted model, not a curated record
UCCUGCUCCUCUAUUCACUCACAUGCUGCAGACACUUCUGGCUUGCAGCUUUGAGCCAAAGGGUCACGAUCCCCGGAAGAUGAUGUGACAUUAUCGCGCCUGCCAGAGAUCCCGUCCCUGCAGCUCACACGCUGCAAGCCAGAAGCAAGGGAGAGACCUGCUUGUGGAAACGUGGAUUAGGAUCAGAAUGCGCUGACAUAGUGAGGAGCCAAUGCCAUUCGGGCAUCACGUUCUGCAGAGAGAUUUUGCUGGAUGAAGUCCUGGCGGUAUGUACCAUCUGAAUUAGAUAAGGCCAGAAACGACCUCUGAGCCCAGCAUGUACUACUAGGGGUAGAGAACCCAUUUACUCAGGAGGACUGCAAGUCAAACAAUUCCCAAGUCUAUAUUUUUCACAUUGUUCAAGGACUGUGACAGUGACAUACUACCAGCUAUCACUACCAAAUCUCCAUCAAGCGUGAUAUUCCCAGUCUGUUUUAACAUCACAGU